RNAcentral lists this ribosomal RNA (530 nucleotides) under uncultured bacterium. RNAcentral describes it as "bacterial SSU rRNA". It matches the Rfam family "Bacterial small subunit ribosomal RNA", at positions 340 to 870 of the family's 1533-position model. The record is from RNAcentral.
UACGGGAGGCAGCAGUGAGGAAUAUUGGUCAAUGGACGAGAGUCUGAACCAGCCAAGUAGCGUGAAGGAUGAAGGUCCUACGGAUUGUAAACUUCUUUUAUAAGGGAAUAAAACCUCCCACGUGUGGGAGCUUGUAUGUACCUUAUGAAUAAGCAUCGGCUAACUCCGUGCCAGCAGCCGCGGUAAUACGGAGGAUGCGAGCGUUAUCCGGAUUUAUUGGGUUUAAAGGGAGCGCAGACGGGUCGUUAAGUCAGCUGUGAAAGUUUGGGGCUCAACCUUAAAAUUGCAGUUGAUACUGGCGUCCUUGAGUGCGGUUGAGGUGUGCGGAAUUCGUGGUGUAGCGGUGAAAUGCUUAGAUAUCACGAAGAACUCCGACUGCGAAGGCAGCACACUAAGCCGUAACUGACGUUCAUGCUCGAAAGUGUGGGUAUCAAACAGGAUUAGAUACCCUGGUAGUCCACACGGUAAACGAUGGAUACUCGCUGUUGGCGAUAUACAGUCAGCGGCUUAGCGAAAGCGUUAAGUAUCCC